Chrysemys picta bellii (western painted turtle) is the source of this 239-nucleotide long non-coding RNA. RefSeq lists it as uncharacterized. NCBI's taxonomy places the organism in Eukaryota, Metazoa, Chordata, Testudines, Emydidae. The record is from RefSeq and is a predicted model, not a curated record.
GCGGAAGAUGACAAUUCUGUCUCCAUCUAGGCUGACAACGAUGGUACUGCACAGCUAAUUUCCAGAUGCUCCCCAAGCCUGAUGGUCCAGCCCAAGGAGCUUUACUUAUGUACAUGCACCACAAGGAUUCUCCUGUUAGCCACGAGAUUGCAAUGGGAGCUAACAGUCAGCUGAUUAUCCAGAAUGACUCCCAAAUCUGUUUUAGAGUCACUGCUUCCCAGGAUAGAAUCCCCAUCCUG